GAAGGAGCAGGCCUUAGAAGAGAGAACAGGGCCAGAUUAGCUGGGCUCAGGGGAGGUGGACCCAGGUGGGAAAAAGAAGCUGUCAAGCCCAGAGGCUGAGCUCUUUCCCACGGCGGGGGGCAGACCCUCUCACCUUGCAGGGCAGGAUGACAUGUCGAUGUGAAGAGGAUGGACACAUCAGUGGAUCCUGGCAGUUUGGCUUCAGUGGACAAAUGUGCCUCCUCUUUGAUUUGGAGAAUGGACACUGGACAGUGGUUCAUUCUGGAGGGAGACGGAUGAGAGAGAAGUGGGAGAAGGACAGGGCUGUGAGCAACUUCUUCAAGAAGGUCUCCAUGGGAGACUGUCAGGCCUGUCUUUGGGAUUUCUUGGUGCACUGGGAGGAAAUGUCGACAACCACAGCUCCCCUGAGUAAACGCCACGGCCACAGCCAUCAAGCACAUCACCUGGAUCCUCCAUGUGGUCCUCACCAGUUUCAUCAUAACUGUCUUCCUGGGCUGAGUCCUUUCCAGGAACAGAUCCAGGAGAUCAGACCCCAUGAAUCCUGAGUCUGUUUUCCGGUUAUGAUGACACAGUAGAUGUAUCAUCUCAUGGGCUUUAUCACAUUUGACGAAAUCCUACACAGCAUCUAUUAAAAAAAAAAAAAAAAAAAACAGGAACAAUUUAUUUCGCCACUUUCGCCUGGUGCUAACUGAUAGUAUUUCUACACUGAAAUAUUCAAGUACUUGAAGAAAUCUCCACAAACAGGACAUUUUUCAUCUUAUUCUAGUUUGUGGAUAAUUAGACUCAGCCUUGUGACCUCGUUCUUGCAAAUGAUAUUGCAAGAAGAAUACCAUCUGCUAUUACGGAACUCAGGGAUUCUUUCUGUGUCUGGAGAAAUUACCUCAGCCUAUUUUCAAUAAAGUGAAGUUUUGUUCAUGACUGUUUCCCUUAAUAAUUUAUUAUGUUUAAAGUGAAAGUGUUAGUCACUCAGUCGGGUCCAACUCUUUGUGACCCUGUGGACUGUAGCCUGC
This 1010-nucleotide long non-coding RNA is filed under the name Capra hircus (goat). Its description in RNAcentral is "lncRNA (ENSCHIG00000002857.1)". The record is from RNAcentral. Lineage: Eukaryota; Metazoa; Chordata; Mammalia; Artiodactyla; Bovidae.